This 315-nucleotide long non-coding RNA is filed under the name Elaeis guineensis (African oil palm). RNAcentral describes it as "long non-coding RNA (EGUI_LNC001009)". The record is from RNAcentral. Lineage: Eukaryota; Viridiplantae; Streptophyta; Magnoliopsida; Arecales; Arecaceae.
GCCGACUCACCGACUGGGAUCCAAAUGUUGAAGAGGAUGGGGAGAUCCGUCAACGAUCCAUCCUCGGUAGAAAUGGCCGACGUCUUUUUUCACUCUCCAGUUGGUGGUCGUUCACCAAAAUCGGAGCUUGACUAUGCCCGAGACUGCAUCAGCACAGUUGGAGGCACCUGAGGAAUAGUCUGCCUGGAAGCAGACGGUUCUAGUUCGACCGUGACUGCAGAUUCGGCCUGAACCCUCACUGACAGAACUGCUGAUGGUUCUGGUGCGGCAUCUUCAUCUCUCGCCGUCUCGACUCAAGCCGACAGCAUUUCAACA